This 514-nucleotide ribosomal RNA is filed under the name uncultured archaeon. RNAcentral's name for it is "bacterial SSU rRNA". It matches the Rfam family "Archaeal small subunit ribosomal RNA", at positions 788 to 1308 of the family's 1478-position model. The record is from RNAcentral.
UGCCGCUCUAGUGCCGCAGGGAAGCUGUUAAGCCUGCCGCCUGGGGAGUACGAUCGCAAGAUUGAAACUUAAAGGAAUUGGCGGGGGAGCACCACAAGGGGUGAAGCUUGCGGUUUAAUUGGAGUCAACGCCGGAAAUCUCACCGGGAGCGACAGCAGGUUGAAGGCCAGAUUAAAGGUCUUGCCAGACGAGCUGAGAGGAGGUGCAUGGCCGUCGCCAGUUCGUGCCGUGAGGUGUCCUGUUAAGUCAGGCAACGAUCGAGACCCGCGUCCUCUGUUGCAACCAGUCUUGUGCUGGGCACACUGAGGAGACCGCCGCUGAUAAAGCGGAGGAAGGAGCGGGCCACGGCAGGUCAGUAUGCCCCGAAUCUCCCGGGCCACACGCGAGCUGCAAUGGCAGGUACAAUGGGUUCCGACCUUGAAAGGGGAAGGCAAUCUCGAAAGCCUGCCGUAGUUGGGAUCGAGGGCUGUAACCCGUCCUCGUGAACAUGGAAUCCCUAGUAAUCGCGUGUCAC